UUAAACUGAAGAGUUUGAUCAUGGCUCAGAUUGAACGCUGGCGGCAGGCUUAACACAUGCAAGUCGAGCGGUAACAUUUCUAGCUUGCUAGA
Molecule: ribosomal RNA, 92 nt
Filed under: Marinomonas sp.
Lineage: Bacteria; Pseudomonadati; Pseudomonadota; Gammaproteobacteria; Oceanospirillales; Oceanospirillaceae
Description: partial 16S ribosomal RNA
Rfam family: Bacterial small subunit ribosomal RNA
Source: RNAcentral